Molecule: unclassified non-coding RNA, 1381 nt
Filed under: Arabidopsis halleri subsp. halleri
Lineage: Eukaryota; Viridiplantae; Streptophyta; Magnoliopsida; Brassicales; Brassicaceae
Description: external transcribed spacer
Source: RNAcentral
AGGGGGGUGGGUGUUGGUGGAGUCUGGGCAGACCGAGUGUACCUCCCUACUCGGUUCCGGACGUGGGUAGCGAUCGAGUGUCGACACGGGGAAUGACCGACGGACUGUUCGACCGUCCGAUCGCCGGAAUUAUCGCCGGAAAAUUUUUCCGGCGACUUUUCCGGCGAUCGGUUUUGUCGCAGUUUUCGGGCAUUUCUCGGACAAAAAUCGCUGAGUGGUCGCGGAGAAUGGGCGUGUCAUGCGUGGGAUGACAUGGAUUCUUCGAGGCCUUGGGGUGGCGGUAUAUAAGGAGAUCGCACGAUAUACCGAGAUGUCCCCACGGGCANCGUUUCACUCCGUCGCCGAAGAGAAUGGGCGUGUCAUGACAUGGGCUGACAUGGAUUCUCCAAGGCCGUGGGUGGCGGUAUAUUCGGAAUGCACACGAAAUACCGAGAUGUCCCCAUGGGCGUCGAUUCCACCCGCCUAGGUUGGAUGGGCGUGCUUCGUUGGAAAGCAUGGAUCCGCCUAGGCUGUCCCGGGGAUGAGCAAGGUGUGAGUGUCGCCCAUGGGCAUCGACACCUUGCGGCUUCGAACGGAAACGGAGGUAAGCACAGGAUUGUACGCCGAGCGGGUGUCUUGGAGUCAUCCAGUUUACCUUUUGCGGAUGUUCAUGGCAACCAUCUUUUGAUGGGAAGUGGAUAUCGGAAGUCAAGUCUUUGACCGUGAAGUGCCAUGAAGUUCCCAGGCUUUGUGUAUAACUUCCGGACUGCGGCUUCGAUAUUCGCAGCCUAGGUUGGAUGGGCGUGCGAAAGCAUAGAUCCGCCUAGGCUGUCCCGACGGUUUUUCGCGCUUGUGCGGCUUUGGCCUGGAUUCGUCCGUCUUCUCUCUUCUCAGCCGAGUAUUUCGGAGAAGUCGGGGAACGAUUGAUGUUUUUGGGUCAAUUGAACGUUCGGCGUAUGAGUGGUGAUCGGAUAGCUAGUGUUUGUAGGCUCCUGCUCGCGCACCCAACUACUUACCACCUAUCCUUCUCAGUUACUUCACGGGCGAUAUUACGCUCGAUGAUCGGAUCCAGGGCCUGUGUUGCGUACCUAACUAGAAGGUAUUGUUGAGUUUGGUUUACACCUUUGUCCGCGGCAUCUCCUUCGUGGAGAAGUCGUGGGCACAAAAAUCGGCCCUUGUUUACCUCUCGACAUUGCAUUUUUUUUGCCUUGUUCGCAUUGGUGAAUAAGUUGCCGGUUGAAAUCUCGGAUGCGGAAAAGUUAUAGACGGUGACUCGAAGUGAUUCGGUCCCGCCAAAGCUCAUCCGUCUUCGGGCAAAAGAUGACAGUCAAAACCUCGUCCUUUCUCUCUUUCCUUUGCGUUUGCGAGAAUGUGGCGGGGAAUUGCUGUGAUCGAUGAAUGC